Molecule: ribosomal RNA, 362 nt
Filed under: uncultured organism
Description: bacterial SSU rRNA
Rfam family: Bacterial small subunit ribosomal RNA
Source: RNAcentral
GGCCUCAAACAUGCAAGUCUAGGGGGCGUAGCAAUACGUCACCGGCGGACGGGUGCGUAACACGUGGGAAUAUACCUAGUGGUUCGGAACAACGUAGGGAAACCUGCGCUAAUACCGAAUGAGCCCGAAAGGGGAAAGAUUUAUCGCCAUUAGAUUAGCCCGCGUCCGAUUAGCUAGUUGGUAGGGUAACGGCCUACCAAGGCAACGAUCGGUAGCUGUUCUGAGAGGAAGAUCAGCCACACUGGGACUGAGACACGGCCCAGACUCCUACGGGAGGCAGCAGUUGGGAAUCUUGAUCGAUGGGGGAAACCCUGAUCCAGCCAUGCCGCGUGAGUGAUGAAGGCCUUAGGGUUGUAAAGCUC